This 494-nucleotide ribosomal RNA is filed under the name uncultured bacterium. RNAcentral's name for it is "partial 16S ribosomal RNA". It matches the Rfam family "Bacterial small subunit ribosomal RNA", at positions 28 to 507 of the family's 1533-position model. The record is from RNAcentral.
GACGAACGCUGGCGGCGUGCUUAACACAUGCAAGUCGAACGGUGAAGCGCCUUCCUUUUUGGUGGGUGUGGAUGCGUGGCGAACGGGUGAGUAACACGUGAGUAACCUGCCCCCUUCUUCUGGAUAACCGCAUGAAAGUGUGGCUAAUACGGGAUAUUCUGGGUCUGUCGCAUGAUGGGUCUGGGAAAGAUCUUGUUUCGGUGGGGGAUGGGCUCGCGGCCUAUCAGCUUGUUGGUGGGGUGCUGGCCUACCAAGGCGGUGUGGGGUAGCUGGCCUGGGAGGGUGGACGGCCACGCGGGGGCUGAGACGCGGCCCAGACUCCGACGGGAGGCAGCAGUGAGGAAUAGUGCACGAGGGGCGCAAGCCUGAUGCAGCGACGCGGCGGGAGGGAUGGAGGCCUUCGGGUUGUGAACCUCUUUCGCCAGUGAAGCGGGCCUGCCUCGUCUGUGGGUGGGUUGACGGUAGCUGGAUAAGAAGCGCCGGCUAACUACGUG